CUUUUAAGAGGAUUUUGCAAGCUUGCUUUAUUUCUAAUGCAAGUGGAAAUGCUGAUGCACAGUACCAAUCUGAAAUCAUAUUCAUGGGAACAGUGAAGGGAUUCCACGUCUCAGCUGCCUUACUAAUCCUCUAAAGAAAUGUCCGGUGUGCUCAAAGGCUGUGGAACCAGGUAAUAAGAACAGAAGAUUGAACACGAGCCUCCUUAUUCGUUAUUCUGGGCCUGGUGAAAGACGCAACAUUCUAAUAGAUGCUGGCAAGUUCUUCUACCACAGUGCUCUUCAAUGGUUUCCUGCAUUUGGGCUAAGAACAAUUGAUGCGGUUAUUAUUACUCAUUCUCAUGCUGAUGCAAUUGGAGGUCUGGAUGAUCUUCGAGAUUGGACAAACAAUGUGCAGCCCUACAUUCCAAUCUAUGUUGCAG
RNAcentral lists this unclassified non-coding RNA (419 nucleotides) under Hevea brasiliensis (rubber tree). The record is from RNAcentral. Lineage: Eukaryota; Viridiplantae; Streptophyta; Magnoliopsida; Malpighiales; Euphorbiaceae.